This is a long non-coding RNA of Daucus carota subsp. sativus, 586 nucleotides long. RefSeq lists it as uncharacterized. The transcript is spliced from 4 exons. NCBI's taxonomy places the organism in Eukaryota, Viridiplantae, Streptophyta, Magnoliopsida, Apiales, Apiaceae. The record is from RefSeq and is a predicted model, not a curated record.
GAGCCUCUGCAUAUACAACCAAAAAACCAAUCAAAAGUCUCCCAAAUCGUAUUACACGCUCGCGGAUACACACUGCACAAAGCCAAAUACGAAAGAGAGGAGCUUAACCUUAACAGAGGGGUGAAGUGAAGGCAAUGGCGGCACCGGACAAAUCAUCCUCGCCCGAUCUCAUCAAGAAGAAGGUUUGGAGCCACGAGGUUGCCAUUGGAGAGCUCAAUACCCUCUCUUCUUCUCGAGCUGUCUAUCAGAAGAAUGGAAAUCUGUACUUCCGUACGAGUAUAGUGAAAGCAAAAGCAUUUGAAGAGAAACAACUCCAAAAGCUACAAAAGCAGUCCUCCCAUGGAUAGAAAGUAGUACCCUUCUUUAAUCUGCCAACUGACUAUAUCAUUCCAGUAAUGGUUGGUGAUCAUGGAUUUCUGGACAUCUGGGGUACAAUAUUACAUGUGUUGUGUAUGUUCGAAGAUUGAUGACACGUUCAUGUGGAAAAUGCUAUAGUAAGUUAAUGAUGAUAAUAUUGAUAUGUGAUUGAACUGAUUUCGUUCUAAGGGUAAACAAGGACCGAAAUAACCAUAUUUUAUUGUGCUCA